RNAcentral lists this ribosomal RNA (348 nucleotides) under uncultured bacterium. Its description in RNAcentral is "bacterial SSU rRNA". It matches the Rfam family "Bacterial small subunit ribosomal RNA", at positions 29 to 390 of the family's 1533-position model. The record is from RNAcentral.
AACGAACGCUGGCGGCAGGCUUAACACAUGCAAGUCGAACGAGCUGGGACCUUCGGGUCCCGAUGCUAGUGGCGCACGGGUGAGUAACACGUGGGAACGUACCCUUUAGUACGGAAUAACCCAGGGAAACUUGGGCUAAUACCGUAUGACUCCUUCGGGAGAAAGAUUUAUCGCUAAAGGAACGGCCCGCGUCUGAUUAGGUAGUUGGUGAGGUAACGGCUCACCAAGCCAACGAUCAGUAGCUGGUCUGAGAGGAUGAUCAGCCACACUGGGACUGAGACACGGCCCAGACUCCUACGGGAGGCAGCAGUGGGGAAUAUUGGACAAUGGGGGCGAACCCUCGAUCCA